Molecule: long non-coding RNA, 959 nt
Organism: Labrus mixtus (cuckoo wrasse)
Lineage: Eukaryota; Metazoa; Chordata; Actinopteri; Labriformes; Labridae
Exons: 3
Source: RefSeq, a predicted model, not a curated record
GUGAUUUUUUCAGAUUUGAUGUUUUUUCACAUGAUGUUGUGUUAAUGUGUAAAUAUGUCAUGUUGUGUUAUAUUACGUAAUGUGUUGUCUUGUAUUUUGUUGUGUUGUUGUUUGAUUUUUUCAGAUAUUAUGUUUCUAUAUUAUAUUGUGUUUAUGUCUUAUGUUGUGUUAUUCAUGUCAUGUGUUGUCCUGUAUUUUGUUGUGUUGUUGUUUGAUUUUUUUCAGAUAUUAUGUUUCUGUAUUAUAUUGUGUUUAUGUGUUAUGUGGUGUUAUUCAUGUCGUGUUGUUUUGUUUUGUUGUGCAGUGUUGUGUCUUUGUGUGUUACGUUCUGUUGUGAUGUGUUGUCUCGUUUGUGUUUUGUUUUGUUGCGUCUUGUUGUGUCUUGUGUCUUUGUGUGUUACGUUCUGUUGUGAUGUGUUGUCUUGUUUGUGUUUUGUUUUGUUGCGUCUUGUUGUGUCUUGUGUCUUUGUGUGUUACGUUCUGUUGUGAUGUGUUGUCUCGUCAUGUGAUCUGAUCUGAUGUGAUGUGAUGAUUAAUGAUGUGACAUAAUAUCAGGUCAUGUGAUGUGAGCUACAUUUUGUUUCAUCAAAAUGAACUUUUUGGUUCAUUGAAUGUCCCAGCGUCUCUUUGAUUCAUUCCCUCAGCGGACAGGUGGGAUCUAAAAAAGGAACAGGAGCUGAAAUCUAAAGAAGAGCCCUGAACAACAGAACAGAGGAGACAGGAAGCAGCACAGAGGACACAGACAGGAUGAGAUUGAAUGAACAGACCGACAACGAGAAAGAAGAAGAAAAGACGAGAGACAAGUGUCAACGCUGAGACCUCAAAGCAAACAGAGGAGUCCAUUUAAAGAGGAGACGGACGAGUUUGGAGACAACAAGAGGUCGGCACAACAUUUAGAAUCAGCUGCAAAAACAGAGUUUGCAAAUCAAAUCUGAAUAAAUAUAGAACCAUGAAUAAUC